Molecule: long non-coding RNA, 782 nt
Organism: Dalotia coriaria
Lineage: Eukaryota; Metazoa; Arthropoda; Insecta; Coleoptera; Staphylinidae
Exons: 2
Source: RefSeq, a predicted model, not a curated record
UAAUUACAAAUGUUAUAUAUAAAAAUAAUAAAGAAUUCCAAUAUUCACUGUCCGAUAUAAAAACCCUACGAGGGCGGGUUCAGGUAGCGCCAAGCUAUGUACUGAAAAAGGUAACUGUAAAUUCAAAACUUGUCUCGGGGCACAAAACAUCCGAACAAACGAUUAAACAAUGGAUCAAAAAUCAACAAUACGUGCAAUUCCUAGACUACAAGCAAUCCUGUAAGUAAUAAAGAACUCUUAAAAAUAAAUUCCUGCAAUACGUAGACGUUUUCGCCUAAAGUGCAAAACCACACAAAAAUGCCGAAGAUUUCCAAACGAACGAAAUCGUUCCGGGAAUCGCUUUUCAGUGAGGUAUUUGCAAUGACCGCGGGAGUAAGGCACUCACUGGACACUGAUCAAGCAGCAAAAGAAGGAUUAAAGCAACGAUUAGCGUGGCGAAAUGCAAUGAUGAUGCGCCGGGAGAGACGGCUCUAUCGUCAAAGAAAAAAAGAGCAAGAUCGAAAACAAGAGCUGGCCAGGCAAGCCGCUCUUCGUUCCCGUUGUGCUCGCAAACAAAAGCGCACGAAAACAAGAUCGAGAUCGGUCUCCUACAAGGACAGUACCGAUCUAAUAUCAUUGAGUUCAGAAGAGGACACGGCCAGCUACCAUUCAUCGCACUGCUCACAAUGGACACAACUUGACGAAUACUUUGAUAAGAUUGAAGUUAAAACAUAACUUGUUCGCGUUGAGUAUUGCUUUAAUUCAUUGUGUGUAAAUAAAUCUAUGAAUAUUUUCGUUUUAAA